This 495-nucleotide ribosomal RNA is filed under the name uncultured bacterium. Its description in RNAcentral is "partial 16S ribosomal RNA". It matches the Rfam family "Bacterial small subunit ribosomal RNA", at positions 28 to 507 of the family's 1533-position model. The record is from RNAcentral.
GACGAACGCUGGCGGCGUGCCUAAUACAUGCAAGUAGAACGCUGAAGGAGGAGCUUGCUUCUCUGGAUGAGUUGCGAACGGGUGAGUAACGCGUAGGUAACCUGCCUGGUAGCGGGGGAUAACUAUUGGAAACGAUAGCUAAUACCGCAUAAUAGUAGAUGUUGCAUGACAUUUGCUUAAAAGGUGCAAUUGCAUCACUACCAGAUGGACCUGCGUUGUAUUAGCUAGUUGGUGAGGUAACGGCUCACCAAGGCAACGAUACAUAGCCGACCUGAGAGGGUGAUCGGCCACACUGGGACUGAGACACGGCCCAGACUCCUACGGGAGGCAGCAGUAGGGAAUCUUCGGCAAUGGACGGAAGUCUGACCGAGCAACGCCGCGGGAGUGAAGAAGGUUUUCGGAUCGUAAAGCUCUGUUGUAAGAGAAGAACGAGGGUGAGAGUGGAAAGUUCACACUGUGACGGUAUCUUACCAGAAAGGGACGGCUAACUACGUG